UGGGUAACCUGCCUCAAAGAGGGGAAUAGCCUCCCGAAAGGGAGAUUAAUACCGCAUAAUAUGUUUAGGUCGCAUGACUUUAACAUCAAAAGGAUUUUUCUUUUAAGAAAUUCCACUUUGAGAUGGACCCGCGGCGCAUUAGCUAGUUGGUGAGGUAACGGCUCACCAAGGCAACGAUGCGUAGCCGACCUGAGAGGGUNAUCGGCCACAUUGGAACUGAGACACGGUCCAGACUCCGUAGGAGG
RNAcentral lists this ribosomal RNA (245 nucleotides) under uncultured bacterium. RNAcentral describes it as "partial 16S ribosomal RNA". It matches the Rfam family "Bacterial small subunit ribosomal RNA", at positions 118 to 348 of the family's 1533-position model. The record is from RNAcentral.